UACGUAGGGGGCGAGCGUUGUCCGGAUUUAUUGGGCGUAAAGAGCUCGUAGGCGGCACGGUUAGUCAGGUGUGAAAUCUCCACGCUCAACGUGGAGGGGUCACCUGAUACUGCCGAGCUUGAGUCCGGUAGGGGAGUGUGGAAUUCCCGGUGUAGUGGUGAAAUGCGUAGAUAUCGGGAGGAACACCAGUGGCGAAGGCGACUACCUGGCCUGUUCUUGACGCUGAGGCGCGAAAGCUAGGGGAGCAAACGGG
This 253-nucleotide ribosomal RNA is filed under the name uncultured bacterium. RNAcentral's name for it is "partial 16S ribosomal RNA". It matches the Rfam family "Bacterial small subunit ribosomal RNA", at positions 524 to 776 of the family's 1533-position model. The record is from RNAcentral.